This 306-nucleotide ribosomal RNA is filed under the name uncultured bacterium. RNAcentral describes it as "bacterial SSU rRNA". It matches the Rfam family "Bacterial small subunit ribosomal RNA", at positions 199 to 507 of the family's 1533-position model. The record is from RNAcentral.
UUAUUAAGAUUUCGGUAUGAGAUGGGGAUGCGUUCCAUUAGUUUGUUGGCGGGGUUAAACGGCCCACCAAGACUACGAUGGAUAGGGGUUCUGAGAGAAGGUCCCCCACAUUGGAACUGAGACACGGUCCAAACUCCUACGGGAGGCAGCAGUGAGGAAUAUUGGUCAAUGGACGCGAGUCUGAACCAGCCAAGUAGCGUGAAGGAUGACUGCCCUAUGGGUUGUAAACUUCUUUUAUAUGGGAAUAAAGUGGUCCACGUGUGGAUUUUGUAUGUACCAUAUGAAUAAGGAUCGGCUAACUCCGUG